This 524-nucleotide ribosomal RNA is filed under the name uncultured Fusarium. Its description in RNAcentral is "eukaryotic LSU rRNA". It matches the Rfam family "Eukaryotic large subunit ribosomal RNA", at positions 83 to 626 of the family's 3401-position model. The record is from RNAcentral. Lineage: Eukaryota; Fungi; Ascomycota; Sordariomycetes; Hypocreales; Nectriaceae.
GUAACGGCGAGUGAAGCGGCAACAGCUCAAAUUUGAAAUCUGGUCACCUUACGGAGGCCCGAGUUGUAAUUUGAAGAGGAUGCUUUUGGCGAGGUGCCUUCCGAGUGCCCUGGAACGGGACGCCACAGAGGGUGAGAGCCCCGUAUGGUUGGACACCGAGCCUAUGUAAAGCUCCUUCGACGAGUCGAGUAGUUUGGGAAUGCUGCUCAAAAUGGGAGGUAAACCCCUUCUAAAGCUAAAUAUUGGCCAGAGACCGAUAGCGCACAAGUAGAGUGAUCGAAAGAUGAAAAGCACUUUGAAAAGAGGGUUAAACAGUACGUGAAAUUGUUGAAAGGGAAGCGCUUGUGACCAGACUUGGGCCCGGUUAAUCAUCCAGCGUUCUCGCUGGUGCACUUGGCCGGCCCAGGCCAGCAUCAGUUCGGCGUGGGGGAUAAAGGCGGCGGGAAUGUGGCUCCUCCGGGAGUGUUAUAGCCCACCGUGUAAUACCCUGUGCUGGACUGAGGUUCGCGCAUUCGCAAGGAUGC